This 107-nucleotide small nucleolar RNA is filed under the name Gossypium hirsutum (cotton). RNAcentral describes it as "Plant small nucleolar RNA R71". It matches the Rfam family "Plant small nucleolar RNA R71". Rfam says of the family: R71 is a member of the C/D box family of snoRNAs containing the C (UGAUGA) and D (CUGA) box motifs. Multiple nearly identical copies of this snoRNA have been identified in Arabidopsis, and it is thought to function as a 2'-O-ribose methylation guide for 18S ribosomal RNA. Lineage: Eukaryota; Viridiplantae; Streptophyta; Magnoliopsida; Malvales; Malvaceae. The record is from Rfam by way of RNAcentral.
AGCCCAUGAUGAGGGCACCUUCUCAAUAGAUCCUUAUACCUCUUCCAUCCAUCAUAUAGGGUCUCUAAGUCCAUUUGCACAAAGGAAGAGAUAUCAUUCCUCAAAUU